RNAcentral lists this unclassified non-coding RNA (253 nucleotides) under uncultured Gemmatimonadota bacterium. RNAcentral's name for it is "uncultured Gemmatimonadetes bacterium contains 16S-23S intergenic spacer region". It matches the Rfam family "Bacterial small subunit ribosomal RNA", at positions 524 to 776 of the family's 1533-position model. Lineage: Bacteria; Pseudomonadati; Gemmatimonadota. The record is from RNAcentral.
UACGUAGGGCGCAAGCGUUGUCCGGAAUUACUGGGCGUAAAGCGCGCGCAGGCGGUCUUUUAAGUUCCUUGUGAAAUUCCGGGGCUCAACCCCGGAGAUGCGUGGAAUACUGGAAGACUAGAGACCGGUAGAGGCUAGCGGAAUUCCUGGUGUAGCGGUGGAAUGCGUAGAUAUCAGGAGGAACACCAGUGGCGAAGGCGGCUAGCUGGGCCGGGUCUGACGCUCAGGUGCGAAAGCGUGGGGAGCAAACAGG